This 323-nucleotide ribosomal RNA is filed under the name uncultured eukaryote. RNAcentral describes it as "partial 18S ribosomal RNA". It matches the Rfam family "Eukaryotic small subunit ribosomal RNA", at positions 1470 to 1796 of the family's 1831-position model. The record is from RNAcentral.
CCCUUAGAUGUUCUGGGCUGCACGCGCGCUACACUGAUGCGAUCAACAAGUUUUUCCUAUGUCGAUAGACACGGGUAAUCUUUUGAACUCGCAUCGUGAUGGGGAUAGAUUAUUGUAAUUAUUAAUCUUCAACGAGGAAUUCCUAGUAGGUGCAAAUCAUCAGUUUGCAUCGAUUACGUCCCUGCCCUUGUACACACCGCCCGUCGCUGCUACCGAUUGGUUGAUCUGGUGAAUUAUUCGGACUGCCGGCUGAAGGGGUUUCCUCAUCUGCCAGCGGAAAGUCUUGUUAACCCUAUCAACUAGAGGAAGCAGAAGUCGUAACA